This is a long non-coding RNA of Manis pentadactyla (Chinese pangolin), 996 nucleotides long. RefSeq lists it as uncharacterized. The record is from RefSeq and is a predicted model, not a curated record. The transcript is spliced from 3 exons. Lineage: Eukaryota; Metazoa; Chordata; Mammalia; Pholidota; Manidae.
GAAGAAUCCAUAGCCAGAGUUUCCCUCUCGGAGUACCUGUGAAGUGAACUUGCCCGGGGCUGAAACUCAUUGACAAGACACCAUCCCAUACCAACUUCAUGGCUGCUGCUUCACUGGCCCCUCCAAAUCUCAGGCAAAAUGUCUCUUGUGGCCCCACCCUAACUGGAUAUCUACAGCCUAAACAAGAUUAUAUUUACACCAGAUUUGGAAAUGCUAAUGCUUCUGCAAAAUUUAAUCUUAGAAAAAUAACCAAAGAAAUGGAAAAGCACUAAUUAACAAGCAUGUUCAAAUGCCUACAGUUGUUGUUACCUGAAUUCAAGGGCAGAAUUACCAUUUGCCCCUCAGCAUACCCCAAAUUCAAACAAUAUAAUUUAAAAUUGGUGUGAAUAAGAGCCAUAGACCAGUGGAACAGAUUAGAGACUCCAGACAUUAACCCAAACAUAUAUGGUCAAUUAAUAUAUGAUAAAGGAGCCAUGGACAUACAAUGGGGAAAUGACAGUCUCUUCAACAGACGGUGCUGGCAAAACUGGACAGCUACAUGUAAGAGAAUGAAGCUGGAUCGUCUAACCCCAUACACAAAAGUAAAUUCAAAAUGGAUCAAAGAUCUGAAUGUAAGUCAUGAAACCAUAAAACUCUUAGAAAAAAACAUAGGCAAAAAUCUCAUGGACAUAAACAUGAGUGACUUCUUCAUGAACAUAUCUCCUUGUGCAAGGGAAACAAAAGCAAAAAUGAACAAGUGGGACCAUAUCAAGCUGAAAAGCUUCUGUACAGCAAAGGACACCAUCAAUAGAACAAAAAGGUGUCCUACAGUAUGGGAGAAUAUAUUCAUAAAUGACAGAUCUGAUAAAGGAUUGACAUCCAAAAUAUAUAAAGAGCUCACACAGCUCAACAAACAAAAAGCAAAUAAUCCAUUUAAAAAAUGGGCAGAGGAAUAAGAAAAGGGCAAAUCCAAUCAUUUGCAGCAACAUGGAUGGAGCUGGAGGGUAUUAUGCUCAG